RNAcentral lists this ribosomal RNA (253 nucleotides) under uncultured bacterium. RNAcentral describes it as "partial 16S ribosomal RNA". It matches the Rfam family "Bacterial small subunit ribosomal RNA", at positions 524 to 776 of the family's 1533-position model. The record is from RNAcentral.
GACGUAGGGCGCGAGCGUUGUCCGGAUUGAUUGGGCGUAAAGAGCUCGUAGGCGGCUCGUUGCGUCGGCUGUGAAAACCCGCAGCUCAACUGUGGGCCUGCAGCUGAUACGGGCGGGCUGGAGUUCGGUAGGGGAGACUGGAAUUCCUGGUGUAGCGGUGAAAUGCGCAGAUAUCAGGAGGAACACCGGUGGCGAAGGCGGGUCUCUGGGCCGGUACUGACGCUGAGACGCGAAAGCGUGGGGAGCGAACAGG